UGGCCUUAAGAUCUGGAUCAGGAUUUCUAAUAGCGUGGUCCGGACCUCAGGGUCACCUAGAGGGAAGAGGAGGUGCUUGUUAACAAUGCCCAUUACUGGGUCCCUCCCUCCCCUUGGACGCAGGGGAUGGAGAAGGGCCUCAAUCUCAUGACACGAUGUACAUCUUCCAGGUCUGAAACUCAGUGGAAACUGGAUUCUUGGGAAUGCGUCCUGCAGGUGCCAGUUUGAUUUUCCAACAAAUUACUCAGUGCUUUUGGACUCAGGAUGAUGUCAGUUGGCUCCCACUUACCUCCUGGGCUGCUAUUACAUUAUUACUAAAGCACUCGAGGUCCUAGAUGAAAGGUCCUUCUAGUUGUGGGCAUUUUAGUUUUUGAACAGAGGAAUUAUAUUAUCCGGCUUCCGUUUUAACGGGAUUCUUCUGAGUGCAGUGUUGAAGAUGGACUGACUGGGAAGAGGGGCAAAGAUGGAAGCUGGCAGAUGGAAUGGCGCUAUUGCAAUCAUUCAGGCAACAGACGAUGGUGUCUUGGACCAAGAUGGUGGUAAUGGGAAUGAUGAGAACUGGUAAAACUCUGGAUGUAUUUUAAAGGCACAACCUACAAAAUUUGCGGGGUGUUGGUGAGGGAAAGGAGUCAAAGAGGUAUUAGAA
RNAcentral lists this long non-coding RNA (646 nucleotides) under Equus caballus (horse). Its description in RNAcentral is "lncRNA (ENSECAG00000049081.1)". Lineage: Eukaryota; Metazoa; Chordata; Mammalia; Perissodactyla; Equidae. The record is from RNAcentral.